AUACGGAGGGUGCGAGCGUUAAUCGGAAUUACUGGGCGUAAAGCGUGCGUAGGCGGUUUGUUAAGUCAGAAGUGAAAGCCCUGGGCUCAACCUGGGAACGGCUUUUGAGACUGGCAGACUAGAGUUGAGUAGAGGGGAGUGGAAUUUCCGGUGUAGCGGUGAAAUGCGUAGAGAUCGGAAGGAACACCAGUGGCGAAGGCGACUCCCUGGACUCAAACUGACGCUGAGGUACGAAAGCGUGGGUAGCAAACGGGAUUAGAAACCCCAGUAGUCC
RNAcentral lists this ribosomal RNA (274 nucleotides) under uncultured bacterium. Its description in RNAcentral is "partial 16S ribosomal RNA". It matches the Rfam family "Bacterial small subunit ribosomal RNA", at positions 523 to 796 of the family's 1533-position model. The record is from RNAcentral.